UCUCCGUUGGUGAACCAGCGGAGGGAUCAUUACCGAGUUUACAACUCCCAAACCCAAUGUGAACCAUACCAAACUAUUGCCUCGGCGGGGUCACGCCCCGGGUGCGUCGCAGCCCCGGAACCAGGCGCCCGCCGGAGGGACCAACCAAACUCUUUCUGUAGUCCCCUCGCGGACGUUAUUUUUACAGCUCUGAGCAAAAAUUCAAAAUGAAUCAAAACUUUCAACAACGGAUCUCUUGGUUCUG
This 244-nucleotide unclassified non-coding RNA is filed under the name plant metagenome. RNAcentral describes it as "partial contains small subunit ribosomal RNA, internal transcribed spacer 1, and 5.8S ribosomal RNA". The record is from RNAcentral.